GGGUCCGUGUCCCGAGCGGCAAAGGGGACUGACUGUAAAUCAGUUGCGCAACGCGCUUCGGAGGUUCGAGUCCUCCCGGGCCCACUA
Molecule: transfer RNA, 87 nt
Filed under: Chloroflexota bacterium
Lineage: Bacteria; Bacillati; Chloroflexota
Also listed under: 1 other name
Description: Chloroflexi bacterium tRNA-Tyr
Rfam family: tRNA
About the family: Transfer RNA (tRNA) molecules are approximately 80 nucleotides in length.
Source: RNAcentral